UUCCAUAGCGGAGGAAAAGAACCAACAGGGGAUUGCCUUAGUAACGGCGAGUGAAGCGGCAAAAGCUCAAAUUUGAAAUCUGGCACCUUCGGUGUCCGAGUUGUAAUUUGAAGAAGGUAACUUUGGAGUUGGCUCUUGUCUAUGUUCCUUGGAACAGGACGUCACAGAGGGUGAGAAUCCCGUGCGAUGAGAUGCCCAAUUCUAUGUAAAGUGCUUUCGAAGAGUCGAGUUGUUUGGGAAUGCAGCUCUAAGUGGGUGGUAAAUUCCAUCUAAAGCUAAAUAUUGGCGAGAGACCGAUAGCGAACAAGUACAGUGAUGGAAAGAUGAAAAGAACUUUGAAAAGAGAGUGAAAAAGUACGUGAAAUUGUUGAAAGGGAAGGGCUUGAGAUCAGACUUGGUAUUUUGCGAUCCUUUCCUUCUUGGUUGGGUUCCUCGCAGCUUACUGGGCCAGCAUCGGUUUGGAUGGUAGGAUAAUGACUAAGGAAUGUGGCUCUACUUCGGUGGAGUGUUAUAGCCUUGGUUGAUACUGCCUGUCUAGACCGAGGACUGCGUCUUUUGACUAGGAUGUUGGCAUAAUGAUCUUAAGCCACCCGUCUUGAA
RNAcentral lists this ribosomal RNA (600 nucleotides) under Debaryomyces hansenii. RNAcentral's name for it is "LSU rRNA". It matches the Rfam family "Eukaryotic large subunit ribosomal RNA", at positions 43 to 658 of the family's 3401-position model. The record is from RNAcentral. Lineage: Eukaryota; Fungi; Ascomycota; Pichiomycetes; Serinales; Debaryomycetaceae.